This 3229-nucleotide long non-coding RNA is filed under the name Homo sapiens (human). Its description in RNAcentral is "HSALNT0197017". The record is from RNAcentral. Lineage: Eukaryota; Metazoa; Chordata; Mammalia; Primates; Hominidae.
CUGGAGAACAACGAGAAGAGUCCUGCUUCAGCUGUGCCAAAGAAUGGGUUCUUUUUCUUAUGGCAGCCACAUGCAGCCACAGCGGUGGUGUUGAAAUGGGAAAGGUUCCCCCGUCCCCCUUGCAGGGCGUGCGAUGGGGUGUGCUCGCCUCUUCAGUGCCCCGUUGGUCAUACCUCUAGUGGGGCAUAGAGAUGGGCAGGUUGUGGGGCUCCAACCCCAUGGCAGUGUCUAAGGGUGGAUGUUUACAGCUGAAGCCCCAGAGGGCGUGUGUUCCAGGGUGCGCUCUUAGUUCACGGUCUAUAGCUCAGUUAGACCCUCUACCUUGUCAUAAGGCCAGAGGGCUUUCUGUAUCCCGGGUUCUUGCCUUGGUGUACCGGAAGAAUCGGAUCACACGUGGGCUUGGAGAAUGACUGCAAAAUCGUAUUGAGUGGAAGUAACUCUCCACCGACAGGAGAGUCAGAAAGGAGAUGGUUUUCCCCCGGAGUUGGGCAGCUCCAGAAGGGAGAUGGCUUUCCCCUGGAGUUGGGCCGCUGGGUGCCCGGGCUGUCCUCCUACUGCCCAGGACAAACUCCACCUCGUCCCACCGGUCGAUGGCCUGCCGGGGAGCCCGCGGGCGAGCCGGCGUCUGUAGGUGUGUUCUUCUGCUGACAUGCUCUCCGUGACCAGCCGCUUCUGUCUUCUUCCACUGAUGCGUUCCUCUCGCCCUCCAGCAGCUUCUGUCUCUGCCUUGCUAGGGUCGUGGGUGUUUAUAGGCCCAGGCUGGGGGCGUGGCGGGCCAGGGUGCUCUUGGAAAAGCAGGAGUGCCUGUCCUCGCCUAGGUCCCUGGGGCUAGAGGCCUAGUCACGGACUCUGCCCUUUCUACCCCGCGCUUUCCUUCCCGGCUUCCGUAUCAUUUAAAGGGACCGUGCUCUUCCUUUCCCAGCACUCCGGCUUGAGUGUUAAAUGGCCAGCAGGAAUUAUCCACUAGAGAAGCGGAAGGGAGAGAAUGGAAAUGGCCGCAUGCAGCUCCUCUCCCUCAGACAGCUCGGGGCUCAGCGGAAUGAGCACAGUCUGCAGGACAAGUGCGGAGGACUUCAGUCCCCUCUACUGUAUAUUGGCUUUAGGACUCAAGUUGUCCCUGAAAUAGAGGAAGGUGUUUUCUAGGGUAGUGGUAAUUAUCACAGUCAAAAAAGUAGGCGAGAGCACUUAGGAAAACUGUGCGGAGAUCGGCUGCUGAUGUGUAAAUACUGCUGAAGCUGCUUAUUCAAGAUUAGAAAACCUGAGACCCAGACGGGGGAAACUGCUUUCCAUGGUUAAUCGUCAACAACUGGCCAGGAUGGGACAGAAGCCCAUACAUAGCCUUCAUUCCAGGGCUCAGAACAAAAAGAAGGCAGUGGCCUGGGCUGCACCUGAGCUUGGCUUCACAUAGGAGGGAUUCUGGAACGCAGGAUCCUGACAACGACCUCAAGCCCCUGUAAAGCAACACAUUUUUUGGCAAGAAUCCCUGGGACAGAGAAAGAAUUUCUUCUCACUUAUUAUUGAGAAUGUUCUCAUGUCUUGCAAGGCUCACUGCCCAGUAGAAGCUGAAAAGAUUCAGUAUGAGUAAAAGAAGAGAUCUGAAAUUUGCAGCUUGUCAUAGAAAGGAUCCCAGUGGAUUUGUUACGGUGAGAAAGCUUCACUUGGAGACAAAGCCAAAACCUUCCUCCCAGGCUCCCUUGGAUGUAGGGGGAAGCAAACUGGCUGUCCAGGCCUCUGAGCCACAUCUACACACCUCAUGAGAGGGCCUGUGCAACAUUGCCUUAGAGAUGGAGAGCAUUGCUUCAGAAUCAGGGAAGCCUAAAUUUCACCCCUGGGGCUGCCCCUUGUGAUCUUGAAUGGCUCCUGACAAGAGGCUGCUGGGGAGGCUCCUGCUCCCUGCCUUUCGGGACUGCCGUGGAUUGCCCAUUGAUGGGUCAAAAUCCAGCUACCUGGUAAUUCAAUGAGUCCCUAGUGUGCAUCCAAUAAAUUAUCUUCUGUUUAAAUUAGAACAAACUGUUUUUAAUCUGUGUGCUAAGAAUCUCAUUAAAUGCAUCAUAAAUUUCAAAAUCAAAAACUAAAUAAAACAUUUAUCUAUCGAGUACUAAAAUUUGCCUGGGUCCUCUUAAGUGUAUGUGGAAUCCAUGCUUUCAAAACUCGAUAACUUUUCUUCUCCAAUAAUCCGUACAGCAAUUAUUCCCCCGCAAAGUUAAUUAACAUCCUGUGAUCAUAUUUUUGGUGAGUGCUCCAUAGGUUCACGGACUGAAGAAAUAGAUGUACUUGAAAAGAUGUCAGUGAAGAUAAAAAAGGCAGGGGAGAAAUUUUGUACCAAAAUACAGACAUACUGGCUAAUUACAUUUUUUUAAACUUUACAAAAAAAAGAAGUAAGACUUUUAGCUCAACACUCCACACACAAUUCCCACCAUCAACUGCACAGCACAUGAAACAGAGUAUUUUAAACAUACACCAAAAUCUAGAUAUUUCAAUUCAUUUAUAUACUGUCUCUCUCAACUCUCUAAAUUUACCUGCCCACUAAAGCUGGAUUCUCAUAUUCCCUCAUCUAGUGUUGUCCCUUAGCCGUGGUGUCCUAGGCCACUUUAGCAAAAUAAUAUAAGCAGAAAUGGCAUGUAUCACCUUGAAGCAGAAUGCUUCAAAUACAGCUUUAUCUUCUCUAGUUAAUCAUUCUCUUUCUCCGGGCUUGACUCAGACAAACAUGGUCACUGUGGAAGCCACGUGUAGAAGGUUGUGGAAUCACAAAACACAAAGGGCUCAGUUUCUCAUGACCACUUAGAGGAGGGCCAUAUGUGAUCAAGAACAAUUGCUUUGUUAUUAGAAGUCAUACACAUAAAAGAAAUAAACUUCUAUCAAGUUUGAGCUAUUCUGUAUCUUUGGAUUUGUUUGUUACAGCAGUCAGCAUUACCUUAAGUGAGAGAGAGAGAAUGCUGCACUGCAGACGUUUGCAUAGUUUGUGUGACAUAGGCCUGAAGAUAUACAUUUCUUUCGUUCACUCAAUAAAUAGUUAUAAAAAUUCUACUCUAUGCUAGAUAGUCUGCAAAAGCUGUUGAUAAAAUGUAGUUUAUCAUUUUUGGAGCAUAUCAUGUAUUAAUCUUCUUGGUUUCAGAGUCACCUUAUAAUCUUAAAAUUUAUUGAUGACCCUGAAGGUCUUUUGUUUCUGUGUAUUAUAUGUGUAUUUGCAUUUACUAUAUUAAUCAUUGAAACUAAACUUUUAAAAAAU